AGAGUUUGAUCCUGGCUCAGGACGAACGCUGGCGGCGUGCUUAACACAUGCAAGUCGAGCGGAAAGGCCCUUCGGGGUACUCGAGCGGCGAACGGGUGAGUAACACGUGAGUAACCUGCCCCUGACUCUGGGAUAAGCCUGGGAAACUGGGUCUAAUACCGGAUACGACCUCCUGCGGCAUCGUGGGUGGUGGGAAGUUUUUCGGUUGGGGAUGGGCUCGCGGCCUAUCAGCUUGUUGGUGGGGUAGUGGCCUACCAAGGCGACGACGGGUAGCCGGCCUGAGAGGGCGACCGGCCACACUGGGACUGAGACACGGCCCACUCCUACGGGAGGCAGCAGUGGGAAUAUUGCGCAAUGGGCGGAAGCCUGACGCAGCGACGCCGCGUGGGGGAUGACGGCCUUCGGGUUGUAAACCUCUUUCAGCAGGGACGAAGUUGACGUGUACCUGCAGAAGAAGCGCCGGCUAACUACGUGCCAGCAGCCGCGGUAAUACGUAGGGCGCAAGCGUUGUCCGGAAUUAUUGGGCGUAAAGAGCUCGUAGGUGGCUGGUCACGUCUGCCGUGAAAGCCCGCAGCUUAACUGCGGGUCUGCGGUGGAUACGGGUCGGCUAGAGGUAGGUAGGGGCAAGUGGAAUUCCUGGUGUAGCGGUGAAAUGCGCAGAUAUCAGGAGGAACACCGGUGGCGAAGGCGGCUUGCUGGGCCUUACCUGACGCUGAGGAGCGAAAGCGUGGGGAGCGAACAGGAUUAGAUACCCUGGUAGUCCACGCUGUAAACGUUGGGCGCUAGGUGUGGGGAUCUUCCACGAUCUCCGUGCCGGAGCUAACGCAUUAAGCGCCCCGCCUGGGGAGUACGGCCGCAAGGCUAAAACUCAAAGGAAUUGACGGGGAGCCGCACAAGCGGUGGAUUAUGUUCUUUAAUUCGAUGAUAACCGAUGAACCUUACCAGGGUUUGACAUCCUUGGAAUUUUGCCGAAAGGCGAGAGUGCUUUAUUGAGCCAAGUGACAGAUGAUGCAUGGCCGUCGUCAGCUCGUGUCGUGAGAUGUUUGGUUAAGUCCAUUAACGAGCGCAACCCUUGUGAUUAGUUGUAUUUUUCUAAUCAGACUGCCCUGGCAACGGGGAGGAAGGAGGGGAUGAGGUCAGGUCAGUAUUUCUCUUACACCCUGGGCUAGAAACAUAAUACAAUGGCCAGUACAAUGCGCAGCGAAGCCGCGAGGUGGAGCAAAUCGCAUCAAAGCUGGUCCCAGUUCGGAUUGGAGGCUGAAACUCGCCUCCAUGAAGUUGGAAUCGCUAGUAAUCGCAGAUCAGCAAGCUGCGGUGAAUACGUUCCCGGCUCUUGUACACACCGCCCGUCAAACCAUGAAAGUCACCAACACCCGAAGUCCGAUUCGUCGGCCUAAGGUGGGGGGGAUGAUUGGGGUUAAGUCGUAACAAGGUAUCCGUACCGGAAGGUGCGGAUG
RNAcentral lists this ribosomal RNA (1457 nucleotides) under metagenome. RNAcentral's name for it is "bacterial SSU rRNA". It matches the Rfam family "Bacterial small subunit ribosomal RNA". The record is from RNAcentral.